GGGGGUGUAGCUCAGUGGUAGAGCACUUACCCAGCAUGUGUAAGACCUGGAUUCCAUCCCCAGCACCACCG
Molecule: transfer RNA, 71 nt
Filed under: Ictidomys tridecemlineatus (thirteen-lined ground squirrel)
Lineage: Eukaryota; Metazoa; Chordata; Mammalia; Rodentia; Sciuridae
Description: Spermophilus tridecemlineatus (thirteen-lined ground squirrel) tRNA
Rfam family: tRNA
About the family: Transfer RNA (tRNA) molecules are approximately 80 nucleotides in length.
Source: Rfam by way of RNAcentral